RNAcentral lists this ribosomal RNA (524 nucleotides) under uncultured bacterium. Its description in RNAcentral is "partial 16S ribosomal RNA". It matches the Rfam family "Bacterial small subunit ribosomal RNA", at positions 39 to 535 of the family's 1533-position model. The record is from RNAcentral.
UUGAACGCUGGCGGCAGGCCUAACACAUGCAAGUCGAGCGGAUGAAGGGAGCUUGCUCCUGGAUUCAGCGGCGGACGGGUGAGUAAUGCCUAGGAAUCUGCCUGGUAGUAGGGGAUAACGUCCGGAAACGGGCGCUAAUACCGCAUACGUCCUGAGGGAGAAAGUGGGGGAUCUUCGGACCUCACGCUAUCAGAUGAGCCUAGGUCGGAUUAGCUAGUUGGUGGGGUAAAGGCCUACCAAGGCGACGAUCCGUAACUGGUCUGAGAGGAUGAUCAGUCACACUGGAGUGGCUCGACAGACCAGAUCGCCACGGAGGGCGGUGUGGGGGACUAUUCGACGAUGUGAGAAAGGCAGAUCCACCAUGCGCGCUUGGGUGUGAAGGUUCUGGUGAAUGUGAAGAAUUUUAGGUAGGGAGGUGUGGCAGUAAUUUAACACGUUGCUGUUUUUCCGUUCCCAAGCGAAUAAGCGCCGGCCACCGUCGGGCCAGCGGCGUGGAGAAUAUGCGGACGACCCCCCGGCUCCCC